GCUCAACAAGCAGAAUACAAUAUACUAUAAAAAAUUGAAAUCCAAGAUGGCGGCCGCUACAAAAUGGCGGAUAACGUAGGUUUUAUCGAUCCCAUCAAUAUGGGUAUCAAAUGAAAGUGCUCAACCAGUAUAAUCAAUGUACUAUAUAAAAUUAAAAUCCAAGAUGGCGGCCUCUACAAAAUGGCGGAUAGCUUAGGUUUUAUCAAUCCCAUCAACAUGGGUAUCAAAUGAAAGGUCUCAACAAGUAGAAUACAAUUUACUAUGCAAAAUUGAAAUCUAAGCUGGCCGCCGCUACCAAAUGUCUGAUAACAUUUUUUUAUCAAUCCCACCAAUAUGGGUAUCAAAUAAAAGGGCUUGACAAGAAGAAUACAGUGCACUAUACAACCUCAAUAUUUAAGAUGGGCCUUGCA
RNAcentral lists this unclassified non-coding RNA (410 nucleotides) under Melitaea cinxia (Glanville fritillary). Its description in RNAcentral is "misc RNA ENSMCXG00005003252.1". Lineage: Eukaryota; Metazoa; Arthropoda; Insecta; Lepidoptera; Nymphalidae. The record is from RNAcentral.